RNAcentral lists this long non-coding RNA (223 nucleotides) under Elaeis guineensis (African oil palm). RNAcentral describes it as "long non-coding RNA (EGUI_LNC010746)". Lineage: Eukaryota; Viridiplantae; Streptophyta; Magnoliopsida; Arecales; Arecaceae. The record is from RNAcentral.
UUCCGCAAAGUGCUUGUAGGUAGGUUCAGGGAACCCAAUUCCAACCAAUAUGAUGUUAUUAAAGUUUAUUUUGAGCCCUGUCCAUAUACUUGCUGGCCAAUGCAUCCAUCCAACUUUACAUAAUUGCGGCAUAUACCAGCUGGCUCUGUCGGCCCGGCUUAUCUACAGUGCUAUACAAAGGCAAAAAGCAACAUUUUCUUUUUAAAGAAUAAACGAAACAUUG